GUGGCUUAAUUUGACUCAACGCGGGAAAUCUUACCGGGUCCGGACACACUGAGGAUUGACAGGCAAUAUCUAAAUCGUUUAUAAUUCUAUUAUAAUACGUAUUUAGUGUUAAAUAUGCUAGUCCUUUCAUGAUUAUGUGAUAGGUGGUGCAUGGCCGUUCUUAGUUCGUGGAGUGAUCUGUCUGCUUAAUUGCGUUUCACUAAGGGCCCAUAAAUUCAAGGUAUGUUAGCUAUCGUUUCUCAAUUGACCCCUUGUCUUCGAUAAGCGCGUGUCUUUUAGAGUUUAAACAUUGCGCAUGCUGUUGGGUCCUGAAAGCAACGAACGUGACCGCAACGUCUUAUUGCCUUUAUCUUGNUAUAUUCUAAUUUAAUUANNAAUAACUAACAGAGGCUAAUUUAAAAUUAGACGGACCGCUGUACUUUUCUUAAACCAGAGGAAGGUUGCGGCAAUAACAGGUCUG
This 460-nucleotide ribosomal RNA is filed under the name Neogloboquadrina dutertrei. Its description in RNAcentral is "SSU rRNA". It matches the Rfam family "Eukaryotic small subunit ribosomal RNA", at positions 1185 to 1464 of the family's 1831-position model. Lineage: Eukaryota; Foraminifera; Rotaliida; Globorotaliidae. The record is from RNAcentral.